GCGAGAGUGGCGAAAUUGGUAGACGCAAUUGGUUUAGGUCCAAUCGGUAGAGAUACUGUGCAGGUUCGAGUCCUGUCUCUCGCACCA
Molecule: transfer RNA, 87 nt
Filed under: Rhodoferax sp.
Lineage: Bacteria; Pseudomonadati; Pseudomonadota; Betaproteobacteria; Burkholderiales; Comamonadaceae
Description: tRNA-Leu
Rfam family: tRNA
About the family: Transfer RNA (tRNA) molecules are approximately 80 nucleotides in length.
Source: RNAcentral